Long non-coding RNA from Leptidea sinapis, 1162 nucleotides. RefSeq lists it as uncharacterized. The transcript is spliced from 2 exons. NCBI's taxonomy places the organism in Eukaryota, Metazoa, Arthropoda, Insecta, Lepidoptera, Pieridae. The record is from RefSeq and is a predicted model, not a curated record.
AUUUUAGUCCGAUUUGACGCAUACUAGGACUAUCUAUUGCAUAUUGUAUUAUUAUUACAUUAGUAGACUUCAUUUAAUUCAAUCAUUGGAUAUAUGAUGAUCUUUUGAUGCAAUUUUUUAUGAGAUGGCGGGCCGGCAGCCGUGAACUCAUAUCGCUCAAGGUCGCUGGCAUUUAGUGUCGCCUUAAGUAAUCUAUCACAAAUAUCUGGCGACGCUAUGAAGCGGUUGAGUAUUUCCUGUUCGUGGCUUGUCACAUCUACUAUUCGCAGAAGACGAAACGGACAUUAAUUACAUUUAAAAGGAUGUCAAUGGGAAACUUGUUAGAGUUAAAGUUAAAAAUAUUCUAGAAUUUUUAAAUAAGCUAAAAUGGUAAUCAAUUCUAGCCUUUUACUUGAAUGCCACUCAGCAGUAAAUAUGAUCAGACAGAUCAGAGAUGACAACAGCCUAACAAUUCAGUGGAUAAAGGAUCACAGUGUGUGGAGUCAGAUACAACAAGGUAGCCAGAUCAAUUGGCUAGACAGGGUUCUGAGACACAACCGGUCGGACCUCUCUUGGCUCUACCACAUAGCUGGUUCAGGAACCACAUAACUCAAUAGAUAAAAGCACUACAUCAACAAUACUAGGAUAGCCUUGAGGGAUGCAGGCAAGCCAAAGCAGCUUUAACAGGCAUCUUUUUAAUAAAGGUAUCACAGACAGCUCCCUGUUCAGAGGCUGCCUGGGGACAGAAGAAACAGCCGCUCACGUUGUGCUGAAGUGCGGAGAGGUGGCAAUCUACAGGUCGAAGCACCGAGGCUCACCAGGCGCCCUUCGGGAAGUCUUUGGCAACGUUAAGAUUUUGGGUGACUUCUUGGAGGAACUUGGCUGGUUGGAGUAGUCUCUACCACUCGCACGCAAAAUAGGAGCAUAUGACGUGGAGUUGCGGAUACUACCCUUGUGAAGAAGAAGAAGCUAAAACGACUUUUGUAAUAAGCUUUAGUUCAAUUAAACGGGUAUCACGUAAUAGCGUUAUUAAAAAAUAACGUUUUCACAGGAUGAUAUUUUUGAACCUACGGCUUCGCAAGGGUUACUGAAUUUUAUUUCAUACUUCCCAAUGCUGGAUACUCGUCAGUAAAUAUAUGUAGAGAUAAUACAGAUAUACUCUAUAUAAACAUUUUGCUGUUUA